Long non-coding RNA from Sciurus carolinensis (gray squirrel), 420 nucleotides. RefSeq lists it as uncharacterized. Lineage: Eukaryota; Metazoa; Chordata; Mammalia; Rodentia; Sciuridae. The record is from RefSeq and is a predicted model, not a curated record. The transcript is spliced from 4 exons.
CUGGAGGGCAUCCCACUGGCUCAGGUGGCUGCUGGAGGGGCUCACAGCUUUGCCCUGUCACUCUGUGGGACUUCGUUUGGCUGGGGAAACAACAAUGCUGGGCAGCUGGCCCUCAGUGGGAAUAAUGUCCCAGAGCAAAGCUAUAAGCCUCGUUCAAUUGGUGCACUGAAGAAUCUAGGUGUGAUUUACAUCAGUUGUGGUGAUGAGCAUACUGCAGUGCUUACUCAGGAUGGGUGAGUGUUUACAUUUGGAGACAACAGCUCUGGACAGUUAGGACACAGCACCACUGCCAAGGCAAGAGGCCCACAACUUGUGGAAAGAAUUGAUGGCUUGGUUUCACAGAUAGAUUGUGGAAGUUAUCACACCCUUGUGUAUGUCUACACCACUGGUCAGGUGGUAUCUUUUGGUUGUGGACCAGGU